CCUACGGUGGGCAGCAGUGGGGAAUCUUGCACAAUGGGGGAAACCCUGAUGCAGCAACGCCGCGUGAGUGAAGAAGUAAUUCGUUACGUAAAGCUCUAUCAGCAGGGAAGAAAAUGACGGUACCUGACUAAGAAGCCCCGGCUAACUACGUGCCAGCAGCCGCGGUCAUACGUAGGGGGCAAGCGUUAUCCGGAUUUACUGGGUGUAAAGGGAGCGUAGACGGUGCGCCAAGUCUGGAGUGAAAUGCAGCAGCUUAACUGCGGAACUGCUUUGGAAACUGGCGAACUAGAGUGCGGGAGGGGUAAGCGGAAGUCCUGGUGUAGCGGUGAAAUGCGUAGAUAUUAGGAGGAACACCGGUGGCGAAGGCGGCUUACUGGACCGUAACUGACGUUGAGGCUCGAAAGCGUGGGGGGCAAACAGGAUUAGAUACCCUUGUAGUC
This 440-nucleotide ribosomal RNA is filed under the name uncultured bacterium. RNAcentral's name for it is "partial 16S ribosomal RNA". It matches the Rfam family "Bacterial small subunit ribosomal RNA", at positions 338 to 795 of the family's 1533-position model. The record is from RNAcentral.